UCACAAUACCCUUUCCUUUUUCUUUUUUCAUUCUUUCAUUGGCAAAAAAAGAGAGAAAGAAAAAGAAUUUCCCAACAUGUUUGUGCCAAAUUAUUCUUGCUAUAUCAAAAACAAUUAUCCUCAGGUUAAGAAUGGGCCUGCAGAAUUACAACCAUUCCAGGGGGAAAAAGCAGUCUUCAUAAAUUUGACUGGCUUCCAGGCAGCCAAGACCCCCUCGAAGUGGUAAUGAAAAGUGUAACUUUAGCCUCCCAGCUGUACGUCUCAAUCCAUAAUCCUUUCCCAAAAACCUCACAGUAGAGCCGCCUACCACUCCCAUGGCGUUCCCAGCCUUUGCCGGGCUGGGCCUGCACUGAUUUAUGUGGCAGUCCUGAGUCAUACUCUCAACCUGAAAAGGAUUUGCUCUCCUAUAUUUACAGGGGUAGUCAGGCCGACUUACUUGAAAUACAGAAAGCCCCGUCUCCGGGCCUCAGUCCCCGCUCUUUUUUUCAUCUUCUCUGCCUCGGUAGCAAGGAAAUGUGGGAUUGUUACAAGAAUAUGAUGAGACUCUAGCGUUUUGUUUCUAUGAUGGAGUCUUGCUGCAGAAGAGAGGUCAGAGUCCAUGCACUCUUGCCACGCAGCCACAUGGCCACAUUAUGGUAUGCGGAUACCCAGACACAGCUCCGCUACCACACUGGUUCAGACCACCUCCGAGGUUUCAUUAUCAGCGCUGGGACUCACUAAUGGCUUGAUGGCUUCAGUGUUCUGGCUGCUGGAGAGGAGAAUCCAGGGAAGACGAAAAGAAAACCAAAGGUGCCAUGGGAGGAGUGUAGAGGCACAAGGAAAGGGGGAAAUAUGAGAUGUGAAAGAGAAAGGGGUUAACGUGAGUACAAUACUCUGACAUCCAACUGCUUUCCUUUAAAGCAAGUGGAGACUGGUGGAGGAUGAAGCAACAGGGCAAAACUAAUGUCAAAGAGCCGGUCGGGAGAUCCGACAAAGUGCUCUCUGCGCGCCUGGAUGACCACGUCUGGAAAAUGCUUGAAGUGUCUAAAUGUGCCUCCCAUACAUCCACACCUUACAUGUUUGCAACAGCUAACCUCACAACAUGCAGGAAGACUGGAGGAGGGAAUUCAGUUUCACUUUUUUUUUUUUUUUCCAAACAAAUGACACCAUGACAGUUGGAAAAAAUGUUGGGGUCCCUCAACAGAUUUCUCAGUUAUAAAAAUAAAAUGUGUUGGAUUAGACAAAGACAGACAUUUUAUAUUCUACUUUUGAACCCCAACGAGAGCACUGACAAAUGCCACCCCACCCCCACUCCGUCUGUGCCAUGAUUGUUGUUUUUUUUUCCCUUCUCUCUCGCGCCAGAAAUGUCAUAUAGUUAGGAGGUGAUAAUUCUAUAUGGCACAAACAGACACUGAUUUCUCCCAAGUGUAUGUAUAGCAUAUAGGCUGACAGAUUGAGAUGGUGUUUGUCUUUGCAUCAUGCUAAACUGGCAUACAGACUUUAGGCUUUUUCUAUAAGGUGAGGUUGUAAGCAUAGAAUAAGAAAUUGGGUGGAACCCUAAAGAAUAUUUACCAUUACAUGUUAAAAAAAUAUGUAUUCACAUGUUAGAGAUAGAAUAAUAAUAAUCCAGAAAAAGUAUUGAUACAUAGCUAAUUUCAUGCUGGGGAUGUUGGUGUGUAUGUUGAGUGUGAGCAACAGUGUUCAUAUCAUAUGUCAGACGCAUAUUGUAAAUGCUAAUUAUGUCAAUUAAAAUAUAAUGCAUGGUUUGUUUACAUCUGUCAAAUAUAAUGGAUUGUUAAGUCUGAAAAUAUUAUUUUAAUUCUUUAUGAUUAUAGUUUGAGUGUAGCAAAUAGGUCCAUUCAGUAACUGUCAGCAAAUGCGAGUAAAUAGGCAAAAUACAGGAGCAUAAGAAUCAGAAAACAAGCAGUACUCAUUCAAUGACUUUGAUUUAACAGGUGUAAUUAUUCUAAAUAUGAGGAAAUAUUUUGACAAUAAAAAUCCAUUAUAAAUCAAAGUAGCUGUGGUGUCCUUUAAAUGUUGGAUCCAAUUCUUGAUGGCUAUCCCUUAACCUAUAGUCCCCUCUCUUCUUUGGCGUUAAUUAAGUUCAGAAAGUUGUGACAUAUUUCCCUGAAAAAAUGCCCUACCUCUUCACAAAGCUAUAUAAUCAUGGCUAUGUA
Molecule: long non-coding RNA, 2156 nt
Organism: Cyprinodon tularosa
Lineage: Eukaryota; Metazoa; Chordata; Actinopteri; Cyprinodontiformes; Cyprinodontidae
Exons: 3
Source: RefSeq, a predicted model, not a curated record